GGGGGGAGCAAGCGUUGUUCGGAUUUACUGGGCGUAAAGGGCGCGUAGGCGGCCUCCGCAAGUCAGUUGUGAAAUCUCCGAGCUUAACUCGGAAAGGUCAACUGAUACUGCGGGGCUAGAGUGCGGAAGGGGCAACUGGAAUUCUUGGUGUAGCGGUGAAAUGCGUAGAUAUCAAGAGGAACACCUGCGGCGAAGGCGGGUUGCUGGGCCGACACUGACGCUGAGGCGCGAAAGCUAGGGGAGCGAACGGGAUUAGAUACCCCGGUAGUCCUAGCCUUAAACGAUGAAUGCUUGGUGUCUGGGGUUAUAUAGUCCCCGGGUGCCGUCGCUAACGCUUUAAGCAUUCCGCCUGGGGAGUACGGUCGCAAGACUGAA
RNAcentral lists this ribosomal RNA (375 nucleotides) under uncultured bacterium. RNAcentral describes it as "bacterial SSU rRNA". It matches the Rfam family "Bacterial small subunit ribosomal RNA", at positions 527 to 898 of the family's 1533-position model. The record is from RNAcentral.